This 422-nucleotide ribosomal RNA is filed under the name uncultured prokaryote. RNAcentral's name for it is "bacterial SSU rRNA". It matches the Rfam family "Bacterial small subunit ribosomal RNA", at positions 355 to 774 of the family's 1533-position model. The record is from RNAcentral.
UGAGGAAUAUUGGUCAAUGGGCGCAAGCCUGAACCAGCCACGUCGCGUGAAGGAAGACGGCCCUACGGGUUGUAAACUUCUUUUGCAAGGGAAUAAAGUGGGCCACGUGUGGCCUUUUGCAAGUACCUUGCGAAUAAGGAUCGGCUAACUCCGUGCCAGCAGCCGCGGUAAUACGGAGGAUCCGAGCGUUAUCCGGAUUUAUUGGGUUUAAAGGGUGCUCAGGCGGGACAUUAAGUCGGCGGUGAAAUUUUGCGGCUCAACCGUAAAAGGGCCUUCGAAACUGGUAUCCUUGAGUGUGGAUGAGGUAGGCGGAAUUUGUGGUGUAGCGGUGAAAUGCAUAGAUAUCACGAGGAACUCCGAUUGCGCAGGCAGCUUACUAAGCCAUAACUGACGCUCAAGCACGAAGGCGUGGGGAUCAAACA